GGGGAUUCUUCUCUCUGUACGAACGACUCUCCGGAACCGCAGUCCAUCUCCGACUGUCGAAAUUUCUCUCUGUGUUCCGUUCUUCAUCGCGACUCCGGUUCUGUCAACGAUCAUCGUUGCUACAUUGGUGCUUUCAUCGUGGACUCUUCGUCGAGUGAAACAUGAUUGGUCGGGAACGAUCGUGUAAAAAUUCAAAUUUUCCAAGGCACGUCCCAAAUUUUGAUUGGGUCUUCAAUAGGGG
RNAcentral lists this long non-coding RNA (241 nucleotides) under Zostera marina. RNAcentral describes it as "long non-coding RNA (ZMAR_LNC003957)". The record is from RNAcentral. Lineage: Eukaryota; Viridiplantae; Streptophyta; Magnoliopsida; Alismatales; Zosteraceae.